This 484-nucleotide unclassified non-coding RNA is filed under the name Hevea brasiliensis (rubber tree). The record is from RNAcentral. Lineage: Eukaryota; Viridiplantae; Streptophyta; Magnoliopsida; Malpighiales; Euphorbiaceae.
GAAGCUUGAUCACAUGAGCGUCAGCCAUAGCUGUAUAAGAAAACACAGGAAGCAUCCUGGUGGUCGUGCUAACUCUGGAGGCAUGCACCACCAUAGGAUCCUCUUCAGCAAUUACCUCUUAGGUAUUUUGGGAAAGUAAUAUAUGCUACUUCCAUAAGCUCUACAACAAGUUCUAUUGCCCCAUCGUUAACAUUGACAAGCUUUGGCGCUUGGUCCAUGAUUUCUCAAGAGGUGAAGGAUAAGGCUUCUAAGGAUAAUGAUCCCUAAUGCUAUCCAAUUGGGAUACUUGAAAGUUAUGGGGAAGUUGGCUUUGCUUGAGAAUCAGCCAAUAGUGGUGAAGGCAAAGCUCGUUUUGAAGAUUGCUGGAAAGAAGAUCAAGGAGGCUAGUGGAGCGAUCAUUCUUAAUUUUUGGAAUAAUGAUGUUUUGGAAUUGUUUAAGAGGUUAUUUUUGUUAUAAUAUAUGAAAUUUAGAGGUUAACAUUAG